This is a long non-coding RNA of Solanum lycopersicum (tomato), 2226 nucleotides long. RefSeq lists it as uncharacterized. The record is from RefSeq and is a predicted model, not a curated record. Lineage: Eukaryota; Viridiplantae; Streptophyta; Magnoliopsida; Solanales; Solanaceae.
ACCGUAGCUACUCCAUUUAUUUUAGGUUAUUAGUUUGUUAUUAUAUACAAGUAUCCCUUUUUUUUUUUUUGCUAAAAUUAAAUUCUUUUACAUUGCCAAGCCCAUUUCUUCCCCCGACCUGGCCCUUUUCCUUCUCAAAAGAAACCUAGAAGCAUCCAUUUAUUUCCAACAUUAACAUUACAACUUAGCAGCAACAUCAAGUAGAGAACGACGUCAAUUCCCAAACGGUAAUAUUCCAAUAGCAACGGAUACAACGCCAAAACAAAACUGACAGCGUCUUAGGACACGUCGAGUUCACAACGUUCGCGGGUAACAGUUUUAUCCACAUUGUAUCCCUCGCCAACUUUAUUUGCACGGUGAUUUUGGCUACAACAAUCAUAGGAUUCGUCCUUGCAGCCUCGAGAUCGUGCCACGAAGCGCGUCAAAAACAUGAGAUUCAUCUGCAACGUCAACAUUGCCAUCCUAUCAUUCGAAUUUGAUAUAGCUGAACGGGACAUGCUCAAAUUACUCAAAGAGGAAGUUCUUAAAGUUGAGAAAAGGAACACGGUAGAAGAGUAAGCCACUGUAAGACAAGUUUCCGAGGGCAUGAGAUCGUACGGAUUGGUAUCUCAAAGGCUAUACAAAAUCUGUUAAAGAAUGAAAGAGUCAGUAGAAGGAAAAAGAGAAGAAAUUUAAAGAGUUUGAAUCUUUGAAAAUAUACUCUAAUACUCCUUCACGUGAUUUAAUUCAUUUUUAAAAAAUGAAAUGGGUUGAACUGGAUGAUCAUAAGGAACUUUUCGAUUGGAGAGCCUUAGCUUAAGACGCUGACCAUGAACCUUGGGAUAGUAGAUUUAGUAAUGCUUAUCGUGAUAUUUGGCCCUGUCAGCCUAAGGAUAGAUAUUUGUUGCCUUGAAGACUUUUGAGAGGAUUUUAGUCUAUUCAAAAAAUUAGUGGUUUGUUAUUACUUAUUAACUUUUCCUUAUAUGAACAUGUAGUUUUUUUUUUUAAAUAUAAGUUAUUAGACUUAAAAAUCCUUGUUAAUUAAAGUCUUCAAUAUAUUAGUAUACACAUUAGAAAGUUAGUCUCAAAUUUUGGUUAAAGAUUUAGAUUGUAGAUGAUGAUAGGAAACUUAGUAACCUUUUGGAUUUUACACAAACUGUGAAGUCAUUAUGAAAAUUGAUUUUUUUGAAUGAAGUAUAUGCAAUCAUCUCAUGCUUAAAUGAUUAAAUUAAUAUUGAUGAGUGAAACUUGCUAAAAUUUCUCUUGAUUACAGAAAUGGCAUGAAAAAGUAUAAUGCUAACUUAAAUAAAGGUGAAAAACAAACAGUAAUAAUUACGAUAUCUAGAGUCGUAAAAUAUGGUAUGUACUGAAAGAGAAAAAUAUUCUCAGAGGUAUAAACCAUGUUUUGCAUCAACUAGAAGCGGGUAACACUGCACAACAAAGAAGAGACCUUGAAGCUUAUAGAGCUUGGAAAAAAGGUUAAUUCCACUACAUGUGGAAUAAUAGUUUAUUCUGUAGUUGAUGACCUCAUACAUGAAUUUGAGGAAUUUCUAACUUCUCAUGCUUUGUGGGUAUAUCUGCGAGGAACAUAAGGGGUACGUCUGUUCUCACCUCCGACAGUUGACUGUCAAAUUUGACACUAACAAGAAGUGUCAUGAUAAAAAUGUCAAACAUGCUAGUCCAAGUCAAAAGUGCUUGUCAAGUUGUCUCAUAUGAGCAACAAGUUCAAGAAGCAAUCCGGUCUCUUCCCAAUAAUUGGUAACAUUUGAAGAUUAACUUGAUCCAUAAUCAUAGUAUCAAAACUUUCUAUGAUGUUUCCCCCAUGUUGAACUUGAGGAUGAGCGGCUUACUGUUGCUAAAACUACUUAUGAUGCCUUUGUGGCAGAGUCAAGUUGUACAAAGUCUUCAAGCUUCAAGCGCAAGAAGAACCGGAAGAAAAAUGAGGAAGAACGAAAGAGAUUGGAGAGGGACCCUCUAAGAAAAGGAAGAAGCCAAAUUCAAAAAAGGAAAAAACAGUAUUUUCAAGACAAAAGACAAGAACAAAAUGAAGUGCUACAAUUGCCAAGUUCCAGGGCGUUUUACUCGUGAAUGUAGCAAGCCAAAAAAGACUCGGGAUCCACCGGCCACUUGAGUUGAGAUCGAGAAGCAUUUGUGGAGGUUUGCCGAGUUUCACAUGUGGAUCUGUGUAGAAAAUAAGGUUAGACUUGAAGUCAAAGGGAUAGACCCUUGGAAAGUGGACUUGCAUGG